Transfer RNA from Ovis aries (sheep), 57 nucleotides. It matches the Rfam family "tRNA", at positions 8 to 63 of the family's 71-position model. Rfam says of the family: Transfer RNA (tRNA) molecules are approximately 80 nucleotides in length. The record is from Rfam. Lineage: Eukaryota; Metazoa; Chordata; Mammalia; Artiodactyla; Bovidae.
UGGCUCAGAUGGUAAAGCGUCUGCCUACAAUGCAGGAGACCCAGGUUCAAUCCCUGG